GAGCACCGGUAGCUCAUUUGGUAGAGCGUGCGAUUGCAAUUUGGCAAUAAUCGCAAGGUAGCGCGUUCGAUCCGCGCCCGGGGCUUC
Molecule: transfer RNA, 87 nt
Filed under: Penicillium nalgiovense
Lineage: Eukaryota; Fungi; Ascomycota; Eurotiomycetes; Eurotiales; Aspergillaceae
Description: tRNA-Cys
Rfam family: tRNA
About the family: Transfer RNA (tRNA) molecules are approximately 80 nucleotides in length. Their secondary structure includes four short double-helical elements and three loops (D, anti-codon, and T loops). Further hydrogen bonds mediate the characteristic L-shaped molecular structure. tRNAs have two regions of fundamental functional importance: the anti-codon, which is responsible for specific mRNA codon recognition, and the 3' end, to which the tRNAs corresponding amino acid is attached (by aminoacyl-tRNA synthetases). tRNAs cope with the degeneracy of the genetic code in two manners: having more than one tRNA (with a specific anti-codon) for a particular amino acid; and 'wobble' base-pairing, i.e. permitting non-standard base-pairing at the 3rd anti-codon position.
Source: RNAcentral